AUAAAUUAAAUGUUAGGUAUUGAGAUAUUAUUAAACAUUUAAUCAAUGUAGUAUAUCAUAACAUUUAAUCAAUUAAAACUAAUUGAAGUUAUCUCUCUCCCUAGCUACUUCCUAACACAUGAGAGAUUAUAUGUUGAGAUAUUAUCCUUUAGGCCAAUAAUGGAGUCCCAUGGCCUGAGAUAUUAUCUGUGUAAUGAAGUUAUUCUGCUUUAACCCAUUAAUAUUAUCCGUUAUAGUUUGACCCAUGUGUUAUAAAUUAAAUGUUAGGUAUUGAGAUAUUAUUAAACAUUUAAUCAAUGUAGUAUAUCAUAACAUUUAAUCAAUUAAAACUAAAUGUUGUCUGCUAUGAUACCAUGUGAAGUUAUUUGGGACCAAUUCAUUUAUGGAUCAGUUGUAUUUCCUCUGUUAAUCAACUCUGCUAUUUUCUGAUUGUGAUUGUGAUAUAAAACCGACACUCUGCUAUUUUCUUAUUUCAAUUGCUUUCAAUUGUAAACUGAUUCAAUUGUUCUUGCGAUCAUAGUUUCAUUCACAAACUGAUUAAAUGUUCUUUUAUCUCUCUGCUCUCCAGGCCUGUUCUUCUUCGGUAUUUUUUGAUUAUCUAUCUUUAUUUCUUCGUGUCAAGCUUUGAAUAUGGGUAUUCUCUCCCCAUUUCUUUGUAAUAUAUUCAGGUGAUCUAUAUUACUUUAUUUAUAUUAUAGGUCUACAACAUCUACUUUACUGGGAUUAGCAUCCUCACCAUUAUUGAUUUCUGGAUCAAUUGUAUUUCCUUUGUUAAUCAACUCAUUUGUAAUGGAUUCUUGCUAUGCAACCUUGAGAGCCAAUACCCACUUGGCAAACCCAAGCAAAUGUGGUCUGAGUCAUGGUGAUAAUGGGUUUUGGGGGGAGAGGAUGAGAGGGAGUCUCAACAAGAACAGUCGUCAUUGGGUUAAUCAGUUAGCAAAAGGCUUGAGAUAUGAGAGAAAGGAGAGGAAGAUCAGACCUAGCGUUUCUUGCUCUGUUAUUACAUCAGACAAUGGCAAAGAGACUUUGACCAUAGAUGCACCCCGGUUUGAGAGACGAAGAGCGAACCCAAAAAAUGUGGCUGCAAUCAUAUUGGGUGGAGGAGCAGGGACUAAACUCUUUCCUCUUACAAUUAAAACUGCAACACCAGCUGAUUCACUGCACACACGGUUACUUAAUAGAAGUGUUUUGCAUAAUCAAACAUUGGUGAACAAGUGGUUGCUUUGGAUGCCUCUGUUUUAGAGUUGAUUGUAUAGUUUGGUUACUUGCAGAUGUGAUUGAAGAUUUCAUGAAGUUGUGGGUGGGCAAGAAACCUCUCUUUUUUUGAGGGGUCGAAAUCUGAAUAUUCUUGGCACCAAGAUUCACUGCACACAUGGCUACUUAUCAAAGGAAGUGCCGGGAUCAGCCUGUCAGGAAACCAUACAUGAUGAGAGAAGCUUGGUCCGUUUUAAAAUUAAUGGGGUGGGUUACCAAUAUUGGUGAAUAUUAUAAAUUUGAUUUGUUUGUUUCUUAAUUUGCAUUAAGAUUAGGGGAGUUGUUAUCUUAUUUGAGUUUUGUAA
Camellia sinensis is the source of this 1559-nucleotide non-coding RNA. The record is from RefSeq and is a predicted model, not a curated record. NCBI's taxonomy places the organism in Eukaryota, Viridiplantae, Streptophyta, Magnoliopsida, Ericales, Theaceae.